AAUCAACGCUGGCGGCGCGCUUAACACAUGCAAGUCGAACGAGAAAGCCGGAGCAAUCUGGUGAGUAAAGUGGCGUACGGGUGAGUAACACGUGGAUCAUCUACCUCUUAGUGGGGGAUAACCCUGGGAAACCGGGGCUAAUACCGCAUAAUCCUGUGAAGGGAAAGCAGCAAUGCGCUGAGAGAGGAGUCCGCGGCCGAUUAGCUAGUUGGUAGGGUAAUGGCCUACCAAGGCAAUGAUCGGUAGCCGGCCUGAGAGGGCACACGGCCACACUGGCACUGAAACACGGGCCAGACUCCUACGGGAGGCAGCAGUGGGGAAUCUUGCACAAUGGGGGCAACCCUGAUGCAGCGACGCCGCGUGAGCGAUGAAGCCCUUCGGGGUGUAAAGCUCUUUCGGCAGGGACGAUAAUGACGGUACCUGAAGAAGAAGCUGCGGCUAACUACGUGCCAGC
This 454-nucleotide ribosomal RNA is filed under the name uncultured bacterium. Its description in RNAcentral is "bacterial SSU rRNA". It matches the Rfam family "Bacterial small subunit ribosomal RNA", at positions 32 to 512 of the family's 1533-position model. The record is from RNAcentral.